CGCGUAGGCGGUUUGGUCAGUCGGAUGUGAAAGCCCCGGGCUUAACCUGGGAAUUGCAUUCGAUACUGCCAGACUAGAGUGUAGUAGAGGGAAGCGGAAUUCCAGGUGUAGCGGUGAAAUGCGUAGAUAUCUGGAGGAACAUCAGUGGCGAAGGCGGCUUCCUGGACUAACACUGACGCUGAGGUGCGAAAGCGUGGGGAGCAAACA
Molecule: ribosomal RNA, 207 nt
Filed under: uncultured bacterium
Lineage: Bacteria
Description: partial 16S ribosomal RNA
Rfam family: Bacterial small subunit ribosomal RNA
Source: RNAcentral